Molecule: non-coding RNA, 505 nt
Organism: Tetranychus urticae (two-spotted spider mite)
Lineage: Eukaryota; Metazoa; Arthropoda; Arachnida; Trombidiformes; Tetranychidae
Source: RefSeq, a predicted model, not a curated record
CAGUUAGACUAACAGUUGAAGGAUAAUUUUUUUUUUGCUUUAUUAUUCUGGUUUUCAUGUUUCGUUUUAUCGCUGAAUUCAUGUAACUUUAAUUUUGUUUUUAGCUGUUAACGUUAUUUUCAUGUAUAUGUAUUGAAAUUUAUACAAUUUCACUAACUAUGGAUGACAUUGAAUUAUUAUAUCAACUGUAAUUAUGUUCAAUUACUGACUGCUUGGUUUUGCCGUUUGUGUGUUAGACUUGCUCAACCUUCAACUCAUGUUUAAUCUAGAUUGUUUAAUCAUUGGAAGAACACUUUAUUAGUUAAUGAUUUGAUUAGUUCCGAGGCAAGUUUAUUUAUUUUACAAAUUGCUAAUCAAAUUGAUCGUUUACUCUUCGGCUGGAUUGUGAUUUCUUGUUAGGCAAUCUUGAUUAAUGAAAGGAAACUUUGAGUCAUUUUUGUUUAUUUAUUAAUAAGGCAUUUCUUGUUUAUUGGUAAUAAUAUUAAAAGUCUUAAGGCAUCGAUGA